Molecule: long non-coding RNA, 251 nt
Filed under: Gossypium barbadense (sea-island cotton)
Lineage: Eukaryota; Viridiplantae; Streptophyta; Magnoliopsida; Malvales; Malvaceae
Description: long non-coding RNA (GBAR_LNC019015)
Source: RNAcentral
UGGUAGGAGUUUUAUGAAAUUUAUUCAGCUUUCAUUUCUUGAUUUUGGAUUGCAAUUUUUUUUUUUUAUAAUUUUGAAUUUUGUAUAUCUUCAAAUACAUUUUAAUGUUAUUUUUAUAUUUUUAAUAUGUUGUUUAAUUUUUAUAUUUUUUAAAUAUUUCACAAUUCCUAAUAAUAUUUUAAAGUUUUUUUUAUAAUUUUUAAUAUUGUCUAAUACUUUUUUUAUUUUCCUAAAUUUUUAAUCAAUUUCUU